GAUCCCACCGUGAUUGGUUCCUACUUGUAAUCAAGUAUAUGAAAAAUUUAAGUUCUACUAAACCUGAUCCUACAAAUUAUUGGUUAAUUGAACAUGAUUUUGGAUUUUGGGACAAUUGAGAAGCAGAAUAACAAAUUCUUCCCAUUCACUUUUUAUUUUUCACAUUCAACUUCAUUUCAAACAGAGCAAAUAGGAAAAUUUCUGCUUUCGGCUCAAAUAUUUAACAAAAUUCAAGCAGUGACUAAGUCUGGCAAGUUUUUGGUCUUAUUCUAUGUGUCUUUUUACACGAAAUCUUCCCAAUGUGUAACAAAAAUUCUUCUCAUAAAAAUUCCUGUUGGAAUGAAAUGGAGGAACUCAAGUACUUGAUUUGCGCCAUUGAUUGCUGUAAAUGUGAGCAUGUGCCACCACCACCGUCCUGUUCAAUCAUGUUACCUCCUCGCAUAAAAGAAGUGCCCUGUAUUCUACCACCUCAAAGACCAGUUUGCCGACCACCAAAGCCAUGCUGCCCACCUAUUUAUCCAGGUCCUUGUUGUCCUUGUCCUUUGCCUCGACCACAGCCACCAAAGUGCCCCCCUCCGCCUCCAAGUCCACCUCCAUGUUGCCCACCUUGUUCUCCUCUUCCAUGCUAUCCAAAACCAUACUGCUGAUGCCUUGAAGUACUUUCAACUAAAUGCUGAAAUGGUGCAAAAAAUAUAGUCUAGAAUCAGGUAUAACAGUUUCUAAAUGUUCUUGGUCUAAUCGUAAUACAUGAUUUAUCGCAUCACCUGGGCUUGUGAUUUUAACUUUUGCGAUACAGGACGGAGUCUUUUCGCUGUCUGCUUGAACGACACCUUUGGCUCGGUAAUAUUUUUCUCCCAGUGACCGAGUCACUACUUUUACUACCAAACCAUCUCGAAGCCACCCCUUUUCUUUGUCAACUUCAUUAAAGCUCUUCUUUGUCUCUAUUUUUUGGUUACUGUGAUGUUUGUGUUUAAUUUUUUUCUCCGAUGUAUCUUGAAAUUCUGAAAUCUCUUCGUCUGUUUCAGAGGUUUUUCUCUUUUUUUUAGGCUUAUCUAUAGAAAAGCUGGUACUAGGACCAACUAUUGGCACAGGUUUUGGUUUCAACUUCAGCUCAAGCACGAGAGGCUUGUCUUCGACUGGUCUUUCAAGUGGCUUCUUAAAUUCACCUGAAUCUUCAUCUAUCUCUGUACGGCCACGUACCACUUGUUUUUGAAUAAAAUCCAUCAUACGUUCUUGAUCAUCUUUGUCCAUUUUUUCUUUUUUAGCUUUUUUUUCCUGUGCUGCCAGUGUCUCAGGAUCUCUAUCAAUAUAUGUUACAAACCACCCCUUUUCUGUUUCAUCUACAACACACUGGCCAGAUCUUCCGAGAUAUUUGACAAAACCUGUCAGACUCAACCACUUUGUUGCAUUCAUAUGUAUGUGGUCUCUGUCUGCUAUAUAAUCUUGGUAAACUCUGUUAGCUGGAACCCUUUUAGUACCAAAUUGACGUUUCAAAAGGUGUAAAUAUCCUUGGCAAAAUUCUCUGGAAAACUCAUCCAUAUAGCGUCCAGCAUUGUCUGCAAACAGCAAGAGUUGUCGCUGAUGGGACUCUGACAUGGUGUGACACUUGAAACCGUUCUCGUCUCGGCAUUGUUUCUGACACAUUUGACAGUACCAUCGUAACUUCUGCAAACCUUUUGCUUUGAUCUUAUUUGCUAUGUACUUAGG
RNAcentral lists this unclassified non-coding RNA (1707 nucleotides) under Athalia rosae (coleseed sawfly). RNAcentral describes it as "misc RNA ENSAEAG00005002913.1". The record is from RNAcentral. Lineage: Eukaryota; Metazoa; Arthropoda; Insecta; Hymenoptera; Athaliidae.